This 201-nucleotide long non-coding RNA is filed under the name Lathyrus oleraceus (garden pea). RNAcentral describes it as "Pisum sativum (pea) long non-coding RNA (PSAT_LNC024013)". Lineage: Eukaryota; Viridiplantae; Streptophyta; Magnoliopsida; Fabales; Fabaceae. The record is from RNAcentral.
AAGAAAAUAAAGAAUGAAACACAAAGCAAAAGAAGCCAAGAAAAGCUGAAAAAUUAGGUGGGGGCAAGACAGAAGAAUCGGAUCCAUGUGUGAAUAUAAUGCAAAUGUUUUACCUAAUUUCAUCUUGGUAGGUAGUACAAUAGAAAAUGAAAUUGUCUUGAAUCUAUUGAAUCUAUAGUUAACACUUUCUGCCACUCACGU